RNAcentral lists this long non-coding RNA (481 nucleotides) under Mustela putorius furo (domestic ferret). Its description in RNAcentral is "lncRNA (ENSMPUG00000028534.1)". The record is from RNAcentral. Lineage: Eukaryota; Metazoa; Chordata; Mammalia; Carnivora; Mustelidae.
CCAAGCUCCUUCCUGUCUUCCUUUCCCUUUCAUCUACCUUUACCUCCCAACUAACUUCUUGCUCUUCAAUUCAUGUCUCCAGGUCUGCUCCUGAUAGAUGAAGAUUAAGAUACUGCCAAGGGAAGGAGGAAUAGGAAGUACCAUAUUAUUAUCCUUAUUUGGCAGCUGGGAAAACUGAAACAGAGAGGUUAAAUAAUCUGCCCAAGGCCACAGAGCUGAAGACUGUCUUCGGGCUCCUGGAAUCACUCUGCACAUGGACACACACACAGAGAUGGGGUGUAUGGACCCGGGUGUUUAUGUCUCCCUGGAGUAGACCUCAGUCAGUGACUGGCUGGUAGAGGAGAGGAAAAGCCCAGUUUUCCGGACAGCUAUGGGGCGUGCCUUCUGCUCCAGCAUUCCCAAUGAGAUUGGGAAGAAAGCUCUCCUCUGUGGACUUUUGCCUGAAAUCACAUCUUAGGUCCUUCCCUGGCCCACUUCCCCU